Molecule: non-coding RNA, 526 nt
Filed under: Pongo abelii (Sumatran orangutan)
Lineage: Eukaryota; Metazoa; Chordata; Mammalia; Primates; Hominidae
Source: RNAcentral
GCUCGGUCAUUCGUGGCGUCCUCCCCGCGGGGAGGGGCAGCUCCGCUCGGCUAGCUCCGCCCGGCCACACCGGCUUUUUCCCCAUUAGGCGGUCCGAGUGCGGCUCCUCGCGAGCCUGCAAAGGAGCAGCAGGCGGUUCCUUUUCGGACGACCUGGAGCGAGGCCUUCGGGACUGCGAGCCCCGGCGGGCGGCGGGUGGCUCCCGGCAUGCGCGGCGGCUGCGUUCCCGCCGCCUCCGAGCUCGCCUGGGGCUGCCGCCCGCCUCCUGCCGGGCCCGAUCAGGGAGAUAUUUUAGUACAACAUCUUUUCAUCACAGAAAUGAUAUCUUCAGGGAAAAGACUUCGAAAAAGUGCCUGAAGUGACAGAACACAUGUUUUCUUCUGGUAUCUGGCUAAAGCCUCCUCUUCUAAGCAGCAUAAACUACUGCUGCCUACAUGUUGCCUGUUCAUAAAGGCUGAGGCAGGGGAGUCGCUUGAACUCGGGAGGCGGAGGUUGCAGUGAGCCGAGGUCAUGCCAUUUCCCUCCG